RNAcentral lists this ribosomal RNA (201 nucleotides) under Triticum aestivum (bread wheat). Its description in RNAcentral is "partial small subunit ribosomal RNA". Lineage: Eukaryota; Viridiplantae; Streptophyta; Magnoliopsida; Poales; Poaceae. The record is from RNAcentral.
AUGUUGAUGCAAGACUACUUCGCGAAGAAUCCUACAUAUCCACCACACCUCUACUAAAGAAGGUACCGAAUGCGCCAAUCCCACUUUGUGAAAAUUGUUCAAGCUUGCGAGGCAAAUUGCUGGUAUUUCACUCAAAGAAGAAAUGUUGCGGGCUUAAAGGGAUUUAGUUCAGAUCAAAAAAUCUCACUAGCUAUCAGGUGA